RNAcentral lists this unclassified non-coding RNA (1121 nucleotides) under Panorpa meridionalis. Its description in RNAcentral is "sequence contains ITS2". The record is from RNAcentral. Lineage: Eukaryota; Metazoa; Arthropoda; Insecta; Mecoptera; Panorpidae.
UUUAUUAUAUACCAGACUGCUUUUUUUGUGUUUAUCUUUUUUAUUAAAGAAAAACAUAAAAAUUAAGCGCAUGUUGGGUAUUCCCAUAUUUUAAGUAAUAUGUGUUACCUUAAAUAAACCAACGGUGUAUUUUUUCAUUCUGUUUAAUAAUCACUUGUGAUUAUUACAAAAAUAUGUAAAAAACUUACCAGUUGCCGUGUCCUAGGAAUAUUAUGAAUAUUAAAUUAUUCUAUAUUUUAGACCGUCGACCUUAGGAAGAGAUAUUUACAUGUAUAAAAUAUUUUCACAAUAAAGUGAUACAUAAGCAGUUUGAUUGUUAUACAAGUACCCGUAUCAAAAAAAUAUUAUUAGUAUAUAUAAAAUCACUAUAAAUGGUCUAUACGUAUAUAAAGAUUGUCUAUAUCUGGGUGGUGUUGUUGUGGUACAUUAUAUGCUUAACUGCUCUUGUUUUUCUAAGUAAAAAUAUAUUAGUUAGAACAAGGCGAAGAGUUGAGAGUUUUUUGAGAAUAUAUAUGUAAAAAUAUAAUAUAUAUUACAAUACUUUUGGAGAAGUAUAUAUAUAAACACGACGCGACACUCGGUGUUACAUUCUUUUUUUAAUGUGUAUAGAGAUCUAAAAAAUAUUUUUGGUGUAAAAGUGAUGUACAUAACAUGCUGGUUCCUCUAAGUAAAAAUAUAUUAGUUGCAACUAAGCUAUGAAAGUUUUUUCCCAUAUAAUAUAUAAUGUUUCCGAUGCAUUAAUAUAUAUGAAAUACUUUUGGUUUAAGUGUUAUGUGCAUAAAUAGUUGUAUUAACAUGCUGGUUCUUCUCAAGUAAAAAUAUAUUGGUUGCAACUAAGCAUUGAAAGUUUAUUGUGUAAAAAUAGUUAAAUAUAUAUUUUUCCACCAUACACUUUUGGAGUAGUGUUAUACAAUCGUGAAUCUUAUGCCACGUAUCUCUUCAACUGCAAUAGCUAUACAACAACUGUGUGCGUUGCGGCUUUGCGGCUUUGGAAUUUCAAAAAUUUUAUAUAUGUAAAAAUAUAAUAUAUAAAUUAGUUUUUCUAAAAGAAGAAAAUACAAAAAAUAUUUUUUGCUUUGUUUUUGUGCGACUUUUAUAUAGAAAAUUCUAUUUUUUUAUCA